RNAcentral lists this non-coding RNA (90 nucleotides) under Pseudomonas sp. 29. The record is from RNAcentral. Lineage: Bacteria; Pseudomonadati; Pseudomonadota; Gammaproteobacteria; Pseudomonadales; Pseudomonadaceae.
UGUGGGAGCGAGCUUGCUCGCGAAGGCGUCGUGUCAGUCAAUAUUUGAGUUGACUGAUACGACGCUUUCGCGAGCAAGCUCGCUCCCACA